ACAAGCAACGAAGGGCAACAGGAGGAUGCCUUGGCGACACAUGGCGAUGAAGGACGUGGCAAGCUGCGAAAAGCUUCGGAGAGCCGCAAGCAGGCUUUAACCCGGAGAUAUCCGAAUGGGGAAACCCACCGGCGGUAAAGCGUCGGUACUGCGACAUGAAUAGAUAGUGUUGUAAGAGCGAAACCCGCUGAAGUGAAACAUCUCAGUAAGCGGAGGAAAAGAAAGCGAAGCGAUUCCCUGAGUAGUGGCGAGCGAAAGGGGAGCAGCCCAAACCGUGGGGAUUAAUCCUUGCGGGGUUAGGACUCAGACGUGGACUUAUAUUAGAUAGAAGAACGGUGUGGAAAAGCCGGCCAAAGAGGGUGAGAGUCCCGUAUUUGAAAUUUAAUAUAUACCUAUGAGUAUCCAGAGUAGCACCGGACACGUGAAACCUGGUGUGAAAGAGUGCAGACCACUGCAUAAGGCUAAAUACAAGGUGUCGACCGAUAGUGAACAAGUACCGUGAGGGAAAGGUGAAAAGGACCCCUGUUAGGGGAGUUAAAAGUACCUGAAACCUGUUGCCUACAAGCGGUCAGAGCCCCUUAGUGGGGUGAUGGCGUACCUUUUGCAUAAUGGGCCUAGGAGUCUAUGUCAGUUGCGAGCUUAAGCGUUUACGACGUGGAGGCGAAGCGAAAGCGAGUCUGAAUAGGGCGGUAGUAACUGGGAUAGAACCCGAAGCGGAGGCGAUCUAGCCAUGGCCAGGUUGAAGCAUCAGUAACAUGAUGUGGAGGACCGAACCCAUUAACCUUGAGAAGUUAAGGGAUGAGCUGUGGUUAGGAGUGAAAGGCUAAUCAAGCCCCGUAAUAGCUGGUUCUCUCCGAAAUAUAUUUAGGUAUAGCGUCAAAUGCUGAUUACCGGGGGUAAAGCACUGAAAAGGCUAGGGUUCACACCAGAAUACCGAACCUUAUCAAACUCUGAAUACCGGUGAGUGGAAUUUGGCAGUCAGUCAGUGGGGGAUAAGCUUCAUUGGCGAGAGGGAAACAUCCCAGACCAUCGAAUAAGGUCCCAAAGAUAGUGCUAAGUGGUAAGAAGGAUGUAAGUUUUCAUAGACAAUGGGGAUGUUGGCUUAGAGGCAGCCAUCAUUUAAAAAGUGCGUAAUAGCUUACCCAUCGAGAGAAUUUGCGCCGAAAAUGAUCGGGACUAAGUACUACACCGAAUUUGUGGAAUUAGUAAUAAUUGGUAGGAGAGCGUUCCAACAUCGUAGAAGGCGGAGCGGUGAGCGACGUUGGAGAGGUUGGAAGUGAGAAUCUAGGCAUGAGUAACGAAAAGCAUGGUUAAAAUCCAUGCCGCCGUAAGGAUAAGGUUUCCUGGGGAAGGUUCGUCCGCCCAGGGUUAGUCGGGAGCUAAGGCGAGGCCGUAAGGAGUAGUCGAUGCACAACGGGUUAAUAAUCCCGUACCGGCUUGGUAAUGUUUGAGUUGCAUAUUGACGGAUGAGUGGAUGCUGGCGAGGUGAUGAACGUCCUCGUCUAAGGUGUUGUAAGGCACUGAUGGGACUUUGAGGCUACGGCCGAGGGGGAUCAGCAAUAGCUAAUUCCAGGAAAAUUUAUGCAAUUAAUUAUCAGGUUGCCCGUACCGCAAACCGCCACAGGUAUCCGGGAUGAGUAUUCUAAGGCGCGUGAGUUAAAUCUCUCCAAGGAACUCGGCAAAAUGGCCCCGUAUCUUCGGUAGAAGGGGUGCCAACGCGAGUUGGUCUCAGUAAAGAGGCCCAACCGACUGUUUAUCAAAAACACAGCUCUCUGCCAAGUCGCAAGACAACGUAUAGGGAGUGACAUGUGACCAAUGCGGAAAGGUGAAAACUGCUUGUGAAAGCUUGUGGUCUAAGCCCCCGUGAAUGUCGGCCGUAACUAUAACGGUCCUAAGGUAGCGAAAUUCCUUGUCGGGUAAGUUCCG
Molecule: ribosomal RNA, 1926 nt
Filed under: human gut metagenome
Description: bacterial LSU rRNA
Rfam family: Bacterial large subunit ribosomal RNA
Source: RNAcentral